GACGAACGCUGGCGGCGUGCCUAAUACAUGCAAGUAGAACGCUGAAGCUUGGUGCUUGCACCGAGCGGAUGAGUUGCGAACGGGUGAGUAACGCGUAGGUAACCUGCCUGGUAGCGGGGGAUAACUAUUGGAAACGAUAGCUAAUACCGCAUAAUAGUAGAUGUUGCAUGACAUUUGCUUAAAAGGUGCAAUUGCAUCACUACCAGAUGGACCUGCGUUGUAUUAGCUAGUUGGUGAGGUAACGGCUCACCAAGGCAACGAUACAUAGCCGACCUGAGAGGGUGGUCGGCCACACUGGGACUGGGGAACGGCCCAGACUCCUACGGGAGGCAGCAGGAGGGAAUCUUCGGCAAUGGGCGGAAAUCUGACCGAGCAACGCCGAGGGAGUGAAGAAGGUUGUCGGGUCGGAAAGCUCGGUUGUAAGAGAAGAACGAGUGUGAGAGUGGAAAGUUCACACUGUGACGGUAUCUUAACAGAAAGGGACGGCUAACUACGUG
RNAcentral lists this ribosomal RNA (497 nucleotides) under uncultured bacterium. RNAcentral describes it as "partial 16S ribosomal RNA". It matches the Rfam family "Bacterial small subunit ribosomal RNA", at positions 28 to 507 of the family's 1533-position model. The record is from RNAcentral.